This 407-nucleotide ribosomal RNA is filed under the name uncultured bacterium. Its description in RNAcentral is "partial 16S ribosomal RNA". It matches the Rfam family "Bacterial small subunit ribosomal RNA", at positions 29 to 526 of the family's 1533-position model. The record is from RNAcentral.
AUUGAACGCUGGCGGCAGGCCUAACACAUGCAAGUCGAGCGGAGCGGCGGACGGGUGAGUAAUGCCUAGGAAUCAGCCUGGUAGUGGGGGAUAACGUCAGGAAACGGGAGCUAAUACCGCAUACUAUCAGAUGAGCCUAGGUCGGAUUAGCUAGUUGGUGGGGUAAAGGCCUACCAAGGCGACGAUCCGUAACUGGUCUGAGAGGAUGAUCAGUCAAAUUGGAACGGAGACACGGUCCAGACUGCGACGGGAGGGAGCAGUGGGGAAUAUUGGACAAGGGGCGAAAGCCUGCUCCAGCCAUGCCGCGUGGGGGAUGAAGGCUUUCGGGUUGUAAACCUCUUUCGCGAUCGAAUGGGUAGGUGGAGAAGAAGCGCCGGCUAACUACGUGCCAGCAGCCGCGGUAAUUC